This 72-nucleotide transfer RNA is filed under the name Bos taurus (domestic cattle). It matches the Rfam family "tRNA". From Rfam's summary of the family: Transfer RNA (tRNA) molecules are approximately 80 nucleotides in length. Their secondary structure includes four short double-helical elements and three loops (D, anti-codon, and T loops). The record is from Rfam by way of RNAcentral. RNAcentral also lists the same sequence under 5 other names. Lineage: Eukaryota; Metazoa; Chordata; Mammalia; Artiodactyla; Bovidae.
UCCCUGGUAGCUUAGUCGGUAAAGAAUCUGCCUGCAGUGCAGGAGAGCCAGGUUUGAUCCCUGGGUAGGGAA